AGGACGAACGCUGGCGGCGUGCCUAACACAUGCAAGUCGAACGGAGUCCAGCCGGUGGCAACACUGGUGAAGAUUCAGUGGCGAACGGGUGCGGAACACGUGAGCAACCUGCCCCAAAGACUGGGAUAACGGCGGGAAACUGCCGCUAAUACCGGAUAUCCCCACGAGGUCGCAUGGCCUUGUGAGGAAAGGAUUACCGCUUUGGGAGGGGCUCGCGGCCUAUCAGCUUGUUGGUGGGGUAAUGGCCCACCAAGGCGACGACGGGUAGCUGGUCUGAGAGGACGAUCAGCCACACUGGGACUGAGACACGGCCCAGACUCCUACGGGAGGCAGCAGUGGGGAAUCUUGCGCAAUGGGCGAAAGCCUGACGCAGCAACGCCGCGUGGGGGAUGAAUGCCUUCGGGUUGUAAACCCCUUUCAGUGGGAACGAAUUGACGGUACCACAGAAGAAGCCCGGCCAACUACGCGCCAGCAGCCGCGGUA
This 483-nucleotide ribosomal RNA is filed under the name uncultured bacterium. Its description in RNAcentral is "SSU rRNA". It matches the Rfam family "Bacterial small subunit ribosomal RNA", at positions 26 to 522 of the family's 1533-position model. The record is from RNAcentral.